Long non-coding RNA from Papilio xuthus (Asian swallowtail), 691 nucleotides. RefSeq lists it as uncharacterized. The transcript has 3 exons. The record is from RefSeq and is a predicted model, not a curated record. Lineage: Eukaryota; Metazoa; Arthropoda; Insecta; Lepidoptera; Papilionidae.
GAGCGGUGCGUCGGGCGCAGGUCGACGCCGGCCCGCGUCGCGCUUGCGCUUACCAAGGAAGCCUCAGAUUCUUCAAUUCUUGCGUCCAAGAGUGUGAAGAAAUCAGUGGAUUCUCUGCCUGACGUGGAGACCUUCCGCGCCUCUCGUACCAGCACUAAGCACUCGGUCAAGGCGGUUGUUUCAGACGCGGCGCUGCUCCCCGGCCUGCUGGCUGCCCGACCGGCCGCACGACGCCGCGGGCCCUUUGCCGAGGUACGCCCCACUCUUCCCAACACCUUUCCCUCACUUUAACGCUCCACUCCGCCUCUUCCCGCUCCUUUCCAUCCCCACGCUCACACCUACUUCCUUUCUACAACAUACAUACACUUCAGGUAAAGAUGAAAAGAAGACGGAUAUACUUCACGUAACUAUAUGUUAAUUAUUGUCAUCAUUGCUGCUUGAUGAAAACCGUGCAAGUUGUAGUAAACGUGUCACGUGCAGUGAGUACUGAGAUGUCGUGCGUCGCACAGAGCCAGUGAGGCGCUGUCGGUGCGGGGCGCCGCCAUCGUGCCGGCACGCAAGCCGCAACGGCCGCCGCGCCUCCGUGACCCCACUCACCUCCGCGACCUCUGCGACCUUUGCGACCACCGGACCCUGAAACACCGCACUACAUAAUAUAUUAAUUAAAUAAUAAAUUCGUAAGCAUUGUUGG